AUACGGAGGGUGCAAGCGUUGUUCGGAAUUACUGGGCGUAAAGCGCGCGUAGGCGGUCUGUUAUGUCAGAUGUGAAAGUCCUCGGCUCAACCGGGGAAGUGCAUUUGAAACUGGCAGACUUGAGUACUGGAGGGGGUGGUGGAAUUCCCGGUGUAGAGGUGAAAUUCGUAGAUAUCGGGAGAAAUACCGGUGGCGAAGGCGACCACCUGGCCAGAUACUGACGCUGAGGUGCGAAAGCGUGGGGAGCAAACAGGAUUAGAAACCCCGGUAGUCC
RNAcentral lists this ribosomal RNA (274 nucleotides) under uncultured bacterium. RNAcentral's name for it is "partial 16S ribosomal RNA". It matches the Rfam family "Bacterial small subunit ribosomal RNA", at positions 523 to 796 of the family's 1533-position model. The record is from RNAcentral.